RNAcentral lists this ribosomal RNA (440 nucleotides) under Salmonella enterica subsp. enterica serovar Mbandaka. Its description in RNAcentral is "partial 23S ribosomal RNA". It matches the Rfam family "Bacterial large subunit ribosomal RNA", at positions 161 to 626 of the family's 2925-position model. The record is from RNAcentral. Lineage: Bacteria; Pseudomonadati; Pseudomonadota; Gammaproteobacteria; Enterobacterales; Enterobacteriaceae.
AAUCCAUAGGUUAAUGAGGCGAACCGGGGGAACUGAAACAUCUAAGUACCCCGAGGAAAAGAAAUCAACCGAGAUUCCCCCAGUAGCGGCGAGCGAACGGGGAGGAGCCCAGAGCCUGAAUCAGCAUGUGUGUUAGUGGAAGCGUCUGGAAAGGCGCGCGAUACAGGGUGACAGCCCCGUACACAAAAGCGCAUGUGCUGUGAGCUCGAUGAGUAGGGCGGGACACGUGGUAUCCUGUCUGAAUAUGGGGGGACCAUCCUCCAAGGCUAAAUACUCCUGACUGACCGAUAGUGAACCAGUACCGUGAGGGAAAGGCGAAAAGAACCCCGGCGAGGGGAGUGAAAAAGAACCUGAAACCGUGUACGUACAAGCAGUGGGAGCCCCACCACUAAGCCAGUGGUGAACUCCACAUACGCAUCCUUUGCUGAGGAUACGGUUAA